GUGGGGAAUCUUGCGCAAUGGGCGAAAGCCUGACGCAGCCAUGCCGCGUGAAUGAUGAAGGUCUUAGGAUUGUAAAAUUCUUUCACCGGGGACGAUAAUGACGGUACCCGGAGAAGAAGCCCCGGCUAACUUCGUGCCAGCAGCCGCGGUAAUACGAAGGGGGCUAGCGUUGCUCGGAAUUACUGGGCGUAAAGGGCGCGUAGGCGGACAGUUUAGUCAGAGGUGAAAGCCCAGGGCUCAACCUUGGAAUUGCCUUUGAUACUGGCUAGCUUGAGUACGGGAGAGGUGAGGGGAACUCCGAGUGUAGAGGUGAAAUUCGUAGAUAUUCGGAAGAACACCAGUGGCGAAGGCGACUCACUGGCCCGUUACUGACGCUGAGGCGCGAAAGCGUGGGGAGCAAACAGGAUUAGAAACCCGUGUAGUCC
RNAcentral lists this ribosomal RNA (425 nucleotides) under uncultured bacterium. RNAcentral's name for it is "partial 16S ribosomal RNA". It matches the Rfam family "Bacterial small subunit ribosomal RNA", at positions 354 to 796 of the family's 1533-position model. The record is from RNAcentral.